Molecule: unclassified non-coding RNA, 234 nt
Filed under: Glomeraceae sp.
Lineage: Eukaryota; Fungi; Glomeromycota; Glomeromycetes; Glomerales; Glomeraceae
Description: partial contains 5.8S ribosomal RNA and internal transcribed spacer 2
Rfam family: 5.8S ribosomal RNA (bases 1-71)
Source: RNAcentral
GUGAAUCAUCGAAUUUUUGAACGCAAAUUGCACUCUCUGGUAUUCCGGAGAGUAUGCCUGUUUGAGGGUCAGUUUAAAUAAAAAUCGGUGUGGUUGCUGCCUUUCGUGGUGACGCACCGGAUUUGGGUCUUCUUGCCUUCGGUUAAGUGACCUAAAAUUUUGCAUGAUUUUUUCGAACUUAUUUAAACGAUUUUACGUAUAUUUGUGUUAUCUAAUACCAGGAGUCUUAUUCCA